Molecule: transfer RNA, 66 nt
Filed under: Lithidiopsis carinatus
Lineage: Eukaryota; Metazoa; Arthropoda; Insecta; Orthoptera; Acrididae
Description: tRNA-Asp
Source: RNAcentral
AAGGAAUUAGUUAAAUAAUAACAUUAGAAUGUCAAUCUAAAAUCACUAACAAAUUAGUAUUCCUUG